Long non-coding RNA from Papaver somniferum (opium poppy), 5690 nucleotides. RefSeq lists it as uncharacterized. The record is from RefSeq and is a predicted model, not a curated record. The transcript is spliced from 2 exons. NCBI's taxonomy places the organism in Eukaryota, Viridiplantae, Streptophyta, Magnoliopsida, Ranunculales, Papaveraceae.
UCUCUCAAUUUCUUGUCCAUUUCCUAUUAAAUUUUCCCCGGGUGGUAGUUCCAAUUGAUUCCAAGUUACUUUAUCUUUUCACCUCUAUGUUUUAAUUUCAUGUCUUCUGAUGUGUAGCAGGUAGUGCUCUGUCCUGUCCUCUUUUGCCUUCAAAGGUUCCUGUCAAACGUUGGUUCAGUCCAUUAAAGGUUGUCUUGGUAUGGAUGCUAGUGGAAUUCUGUCAUCGAUGGCUGAACAAUUCAAAAAAAGUGUUCAGGGAAGCAUAAAUUCAAGAUCUAAAAAUCUCCGCCAAUUGACACCACACCAGUAAGAUCUAAUCUGAGUAUUAAGAUAGGUGGAAGAAAUUUUCUGGUAAAUUCAACACGUUGCUUUACUGAAUCAUGCAUUGCUGCUAUAAAUUGGAAUGUUGUUAAGAAUGUUCUCAUCACCACAUUCAUUUUCCUUCUUCACCUAAAUCUCCUAAUAAUGGUGAGUGGUUCUUCACAAUAUGGCGAACUCUCUGAUAUUAUAGGAAAAAUCAAAUCAACAACUUUGGAAGAAGGAGAAAAAAAUUAGAAGACUAAUAAGAUACCCAAAAAUCAAGCUUGAGAAGGGAAUUGAAAAAUGGGAGAAAAGCCUAAUUGGGAAAGUUUUCUGUGAAUUUCCAAUGAGUACUGACAAAGUGGAACUAGAAGUUACGCUCCAAUGGGGACAUGGUCAUUUUCAAAUUCGUAGGAGGGACACAAAUAUCUUCACUUUCAGGUUCUAUGAAUGAGAAGACUACAACAAUGUUCUAACUGGAGCUCCUUGGAAUGUGGAUGGUUAUCUAAUGGUCCUGAAGGAAUGGCACCCAACUAAUGAUCCAAGGAAUAUCGACUUUAGCAUUCAACAGUACUGGCUGGACAUCAAAAAGCUACCUCCAGAAUUCCUCAAUGCUGAAGUGGUUCAUCAAAUUGGCAGCAUAGCGGGCAAUGUUUUGAAGCUGGAACCAGAAGAUGGAAAUCCUGUGGAUACUAAUCAUAAAGCUAGCCAUGUCCAAACUAUAGAUGGCUAUAUUUUCAAGUUUGGAGAAGACUAUGGAGAAGUUAUUGAUCCAAGAGCCAACAAUCCAGUUUACGGCAUUCUUCUCCAAAAAAGAAUCUAAGGAAGAAGAAUAGUGCUAAGAGGGCUUUCGUUAUCCCCGAAGACGGUCAUCUGGUCUCUACAAUUUUUACUCAAGGCUCUUCAGGAGGUGCUGAAAGCUCAGGUGCUAGGAGAGGCAAAAGAUCAAGAAAUCAUGAACCUUCCUUCCAAGCUAGCAAUGAAGCCAGAAUUUUUAUCAUGAGAAUCAACAAUACUCGGCUUAUAAUAAAGUCGACACUAACAUCCAAAUGAAUUAUAUAGGGGACUGGGACAACUUUGUUCAGCAACAGGACAUGAACCAAGAAGAAGGGCAAGAGGGGCAGGUAAUACACAUCAUCUUUAUUCCUUAUCAUUAUUUCCAUAUCUAUAAUUUUUUUGUUGUUCAUCAAGACAGUUAUCUCUGCUUUUACUAUCAUAUUCACUCCCUUGAAAAUUUCCUUAAAAUGCAUGUUAACAUGAAUAUCCUGGCCUGGAAUGUCCAAGGAAUAGGUAGUAGCCCAACUAGACAUCACCUUAGAGAUUGCAUAAAAAACUAUAAUUCAGACAUAGUUUUCCUUUCUGAGACAUAGCUUACUUUAUAGAAUGGGUUAUCCUAACAUCUUAUGUCAAAGUUUUGUGGGUAAGUCUGGUGGCUUGGCUCUUCUGUGGAAAGACAAUACUGGUGUAACCAUUAAGGAGUAUGAUGAUAAUAUGAUGCAUAUGGAAGUUUGCUCUGGAUAUAGUCACAACAAAUAGUUUCUCACGUGUAUGUAUGGGUCUACUCACAAGGAAAUCAGGAAGAAGCAAUGGGACCAUAUACGGGAUAUGUGUCAGAAUAUGAAGAUGUCGUGGGUUAUUCUGGGAGAUUCAAACAUUAUUCUUAAUUGUUCAGAUAAACAAAGUUUCACCACUUUCACCAACCCAUCAUAUAAAUUUGUUUUUGAUACCAUAAACCAGCUUGGUCUCGCCGUUUACUUGGUCAAAUAGGAGAGAGUCCAAAAAACUGGUGAAAACAAGAACAGAUAGAGCCCUAGCUAACCCUCUCUGGUUUCAACACUUCCAAACAGCCAUUAUAAAGAAUCUCCUCCCAUUCGCCUCUGACCAUGCCCCAAUACUUCUGUCAACCCAGAAAUCAGAAAACCCCAUAAAAAGACCCCACCGUUUCUAUGAAGCAUGGAUUCAUGACCCAACUUUCAGAGAUACUAUCCUAACCAGCUGGAACUCUAUUCCAAUGAACAACGAUGAAAACCUUUUCACUCAGAAAUUACAGCAAACAACUGAAACUUUGAAAGAAUGGAACCAUGUUGUUUUUGGUCAUGUAAACACUGAAAUCAAAAAGCUGCAAAGGAAGAUAACUGAAGAGAAGAAGAAGAGCAGGCAGGACACUCACAAAAUUAAAACCUUAGAAGACUCUCUGAAUAUUUGGUACAAAAAGUGAGCUCAGAUCAUCUAUCAGCAGUCUAAAGAGAAUAUCCUCCGGAAUAAAGACAAGAACUCAAAAUAUUUUCAUCAAAGAGCAAACUACAGAAGGAGAAGAAACAAUAUAGACUCAUUACAAGACAGCCAAGGAAAUUGGGUCUCAAGAAGAAAAGAUCUUCAAGCCAUUAUAAACAACCAUUUUAGCUCCAUCACCACAACUUGUAACCCAAAUAUCAGUGAGGAUCUUCUAAAUCUCAUAAACCCAAGAGUCAGUGAAGAGAAAAACAAGAUGCUUACAGAAAUUCCUUAGCCAGAAUAAAUCAAGAACAUAGUCUUCAAAAUCAAAUCAUGGUCUGCACCGGGGCCGGAUGGGUACCAAGCAGGUUUCUAUCAGCAUACGUGGGAUAUUGUUGGAAGGGAUAUCAUAGAGUUGGUUCAUAUUUUUUUCAUUAAUGAAGUCUUCUUAUCUGAUUUGAAUGAUACUUAUCAAGUCUUAGUCCCGAAAAGGGAAUAUGUCAGCAAACCGGAGGAUUUCAGACCAAUUAGCUUAUGUAAUGUAAGUUAUAAAAUCAUCACAAAGCUGUUGUCUUCUAGACUAAGGUUAAUUCUUCCCAACUUGAUAUCUCCUUGGCAAGAGACUUUUAUUCUGGGUAGAAAUAUUCAUGAUAACACUAUAGUGGCUCAUGAGAUUGUGGACUACAUGAAGAAAAAAAGAGCAAAUGAUGGAGUUAUAGGUGUCAAAUUGGACAUGGCCAAAGCGUUCGACAAAAUGGAGUGGUGUUAUCUGGAAAAAGUUAUGUCAAAAAUAGGGUUUUCUUCAAAGUGGUGCAGAUUAAUCAUGAAAUGUAUCAGUUCUCCAAAAAUUUCUCUAAUGUUGAAUGGUGCUACUCUGCAAUCUUUCAACCCUUCAAGAGGGUUAAGGAAAGGCGAUUCGAUAUCACCGUAUAUCUUUAUUCUUGGUAUGGAAGGUUUUAGCAGAUUGUUGAGCAAUGCAGACAGAAGCUGAUAAUUCCAGUUUAACCAGCAAUUCAAGGGCCACAGAUUUCACAUCUAUUCUUCGCUGACGACUACUUCUUAUUUACAAAGGCAACAAGCAGAGCUAUAAACAACCUUAUGAGCAUCAUCAACAUUUUUUACUUCUUCAUCUGGUCAGUUACUAAAUCUUGAAAAAUCAAGUAUUUUCUUCAGUAGGAAUAUAAGCCCAGCUGAUUGUGAAAGGAUCUCAAGGGAAUUAAACAUGGCUUCUAUGGAUCUGGAUGAGAAGUAUUUGGGGGUGAAUCUUUUUACCUCAAAAAGAAGGGAGCAAUGUUUUAUCUCCUCCAAAGAGUAAAUGGAAUUCAGACUAAAAAUGGCAGGGUAAAUUUAUCAACCAAGCUGGCAGAACAACCCAAAUACAAGCUACUCUCAGUUCAAUUGCACAGCAUCAGAUGAGCAUCUUCUACAUUCCAGAUAAAAUGGCAAAACAAAUGGAUUCCAUUCAAAGAAAUUACUUCUGGAAAAAAGACAAAACUCAAGGUUUAUAUCCAAAGGCAUGGUCUGGGAUUUGUUCUUCUAAGAGAAAUGGUGGUCUGAGUCUAAAGGACACUAAAACUUUCAAUUUAGCUCUCUUAGCAAAAUUGGCCUGGAGAAUGCUAAGCGAGAAAAAUGCAAAAUGGAAUAACUUAAUUAGAGCUAGAUACUUCAGGAAUGAAGACCCUCUCUGUGAUACUUUGCAGAAAAGUGGCACCUGGAUUUGGCAAAGCAUUAAGAAAGGUUUAGAAGUGAUAAAGAAAUUCUAUAUCUGGGAAGUUGGGGAUGGUACCUCAAUAAAUGUUUUUAAACAUAAUUGGAUCCCAAAUACAGAACCUAAAAGCAUUCUUUCUCCGCAAUCAAGCAACAUCAACAUUAAUAUGAAAGUUCAGGACUUGAUAAAUUAGCAGACCCAAACUUGGAAGGUGGAGGAGCUAAAGAAGCUAUUCAGUCAGAAUAUUGUGGACAAAAUUCUCACUAUCAAAAUUGAUACAAGGAAAAAAGACAGCUUGAGAUGGACAUUAACAAGAUGUUGGAAGUUUACAACCAACUCAACAUACAAAGAACUCCAGAAAGAGAAACAAAUAACUCAGAAUAAUUCUAUGAAGAUGUCUGAAAAAGCCUGGUUAAAACUUUGGCACACUCAGAUUCCUCAUAAAGUUCAGCAGUUCAUCUAAAAAUGUUGCCAUAACAUUCUCCCUGUCAAUCAAAAGCUGGGAAGAUUUAUAACAAGCAACAAUAAGAUGUGUCCCAUGUGUAACAAAGAAGAGGAGUCUGCCACUCACCUUUUGUUGAAGUGCCAGUAUGCAAAUGUGAAAUGGUUUGGUGCAACAGAAUAAGGUGCAAGACUGGAUCAGAUGCUGGUUUGAAAACACAAACUCUAUAAAAGCUUAGUAUCCUUUUCUUCUUAAUCUAGCUGCAAUCACCAUGUGGCAUAUCUGGAAAUCUAGAUGUGAAAAGGUUUUUGAGAAUAAGAUGCAUCACCCAAUAAAAAAUCAUAGGAAGGAUAAAAACAAUUGCAUAAAUUAUGGCAUUAGUCUAAGCAUGAGUACUAGGGUUAACAAAAAUCCUCAGCAAGUUUGGGAAAAACCCCCAGUUAACUGGCUAAAAAUGAAUAUAGAUGCUUCUAUGUCUGAUAAUUUUACUAAUGCUGGUUUUUGUAUUAUCCUUCGUGAUCAUACGGGAAAAUUCAUGGGGGCCAUGGGAUACUCAAGCAUAGAUAGAGAUAUACUUCAAGCUGAGAUGAUGGUCCUCUUAAAAGCUCUUCGAUGGAUCCAAGAACAAUGUCUUUCAAAUGUCAUCAUAGAGGGGGACAAUCAAGAGGUAGUUAAUUCAUGUAAUGGUAUUAUCUCAAGCAAGCAGUGGGAAAAUGUUUUACUAGUAGAAGAGUGUCAGUCAGUUCUUAAGAGUCUGAAUAACUGUGUGGUUCAGUUUAGAAAAAGAAUUUGUAAUCAAGUUGCAGACAAACUUGCAAAGUUUGCUAGGUCGAGUCUUAGAUUUCAAGUCUGGUGGGAUGUACCACCAAAUCUGCUUUGUAAUGUCUUAGAGAAGGAUAGUGUUAAGUCUAGUAAGAGUGUUUAGUCUGGGCCUGUGUCUGCCCUGUGUGUCCGAGUCUGUCAUGUUUGUAUCAGUUGGUUUUCUAGAAAUAAAUCUUUCUUUGCUCAAAAAAAAGAAAGAAAAAA